GACGAACGCUGGCGGCGUGCUUUAGACAUGCAAGUCGAACGAGAUCUUCGGAUCUAGUGGCGAACGGCGGAGUAAUACAUAAACAACGUGCCCUGAAGACUGGGAUAUACGGUCGAAAGGCCGAGCAAUACCGGAUGUGGCCGAGACUAGGCAUCUAGACUCGAUUAAAUGGUUUUCGCUUCAGGAGCGGUUUAUGACUCAUCAGCUAGUUGGUAGGGUAAUGGCCUACCAAGGCUACGACGGGUAGGGGGUCUGAGAGGAUGAUCCCCCCGAGUGGGACUGAGACACGGCCCACACACCUACGGGUGGCAGCAGUUUGGAAUCUUGCCCAAUGGGGGAAACCCUGAGGCAGCGACGCCGCGUGGAGGAUGAAGGAUUUAGGUCUGUAAACUCCUUUGCCAGGAAAGACUUAGGACGGUACCUGGCGAAUAAGCUCCGGCUAACUACGUGCCAGCAGCCGCGGUAU
Molecule: ribosomal RNA, 466 nt
Filed under: uncultured bacterium
Lineage: Bacteria
Description: bacterial SSU rRNA
Rfam family: Bacterial small subunit ribosomal RNA
Source: RNAcentral